This is a long non-coding RNA of Myiozetetes cayanensis, 1462 nucleotides long. RefSeq lists it as uncharacterized. The transcript has 3 exons. Lineage: Eukaryota; Metazoa; Chordata; Aves; Passeriformes; Tyrannidae. The record is from RefSeq and is a predicted model, not a curated record.
UCUUUCUUUCCUGGGAGAAAGGGCUGUCGUUCGCUUGCGGGAGUCCUGCGCUGAAAUAGCCAGUCUGAGUGCCAAAAUUAAAUACGGAUGAAGAUUCCUCCCAAAUCAAAAUGUGCAGAGAGAAAGCUCCUGCUGCCCGUGGAGUGCCCAGAAGAGCCUAAAACCCAGGCCCUUGACCCUGAGGGUAAGCUCUUUCUUUCCUGGGAGAAAGGGCUGUCGUUCACUUGCAGGAGUCCUGCGCUGAAAUAGCAAGUCUGACUAAUGAAACUAAACACCGACGAAGAUUUCUCCCAGGGAGAAGGUGGCAAGACAGAAAGGUUCUGCUACCCGUGGAGUGGCCAGGCUGGCCCACUAACUAAACCUGAGACCCCCAGGGUAAGCACCUUCUUUCCGGAGAGAACAGGCUUUUGUUUGCUUGCAGGAGUGCCGCACUGAAAUUGCCAGUCGGACACCAAAACUCCAAACGAACAAAGAUUGCUCCCAGAGAAAACGCGCAAGGAGACAAAGCUGCUGGUGUCCAUGGAGUGCCAAGGCCGGCCCACCAACUGCACUUGAGACCCUGAGACUAAGCCCUUUGAUUCCUGGGAGAAAGGCUUGUUGUUGGCUUGCAGGAAUCCUGCACUGAUAUUGCUACUCAGACUCCAAAAUUGACUCCGAAUGAAGAUUCCUCCCAGACAAGAGGUGCCAUCAGAGAAAGCUCCUGCUCCCCGUGGAUUGCCCAGACCAGCCCACCAGCUGCACCUAAGCCCCUGAGGGAGCGCUGCGCUGAAAUUGCCAGUCCGACUGCAAAAAUUGAAGACAAACAAAGAUUCCUCCCAGACAGAAGGUGGCCAGGCCAAAAGCUCCUUCUACCCGUGGAGUGCCCAGGCCGACCUACAACCCAGACCUUAAAGCCAAGGGAGUGCCGCACUGAAAUUGCCAGUCGGACACCAAAACUCCAAACGAACAAAGAUUGCUCCCAGACAAAAUAUGCAAGGAGACAAAGCUCCUGGUGUCCAUGGAGUGCCAAGGCCGGCCCACCAACUGCACUUGAGACCCUGAGACUAAGCCCUUUGAUUCCUGGGAGAAAGGCUUGUUGUUGGCUUGCAGGAAUCCUGCACUGAUAUUGCUACUCAGACUCCAAAAUUGACUCCGAAUGAAGAUUCCUCCCAGACAAGAGGUGCCAUCAGAGAAAGCUCCUGCUCCCCAUGGAUUGCCCAGACCAGCCCACCAGCUGCACCUAAGCCCCUGAGGGUAAGCAUUUUCUUUCCUAGGAGAAAGCGCUGUAGUUGGCUUGCAAUAAUCCUGUGCUGAAAUUGCUCGUCUGACAACAAAAUGGGAUCGGAAUGAAGAUGGCUCCCAAAGAAAAGGAGCCAUCACAAAAAGCUCCUGUUUCCCUUGGAGGGCCCAGGCUGCCCCACAAAGUGCACGUAAGACCUUGGGGGUAAGCCCUCUUUGUCCUAGCAGAAAGGACUUUGGUUCG